Molecule: ribosomal RNA, 836 nt
Filed under: uncultured archaeon
Lineage: Archaea
Description: bacterial SSU rRNA
Rfam family: Archaeal small subunit ribosomal RNA
Source: RNAcentral
ACCGCUCAGUAACACGUAGUCAACCUAACCUAUGGACGGGAAUAACCUCGGGAAACUGAGAAUAAUGCCCGAUAGAACACUAUACCUGGAAUGGUUUGUGUUCCAAAUGAUUUAUCGCCAUAGGAUGGGAUUGCGGCCUAUCAGUUUGUUGGUGAGGUAAUGGCCCACCAAGACUAUUACAGGUACGGGCUCUGAGAGGAGUAGCCCGGAGAUGGGUACUGAGACACGGACCCAGGCCCUAUGGGGCGCAGCAGGCGAGAAAACUUUGCAAUGUGCGAAAGCACGACAAGGUUAAUCCGAGUGAUUUGUGCUAAACGAAUCUUUUGUUAGUCCUAGAAACACUAACGAAUAAGGGGUGGGCAAGUUCUGGUGUCAGCCGCCGCGGUAAAACCAGCACCUCAAGUGGUCAGGAUGAUUAUUGGGCCUAAAGCAUCCGUAGCCGGCUCUGUAAGUUUUCGGUUAAAUCUGUACGCUUAACGUACAGGCUGCCGGGAAUACUGCAAAGCUAGGGAGUGGGAGAGGUAGACGGUACUCGGUAGGAAGUGGUAAAAUGCUUUGAUCUAUCGAUGACCACCUGUGGCGAAGGCGGUCUACCAGAACACGUCCGACGGUGAGGGAUGAAAGCUGGGGGAGCAAACCGGAUUAGAUACCCGGGUAGUCCCAGCUGUAAACUAUGCAAGCUCAGUGAUGCAUUGGCUUGUGGCCAAUGCAGUGCUGCAGGGAAGCCGUUAAGUUUGCCGCCUGGGAAGUACGUACGCAAGUAUGAAACUUAAAGGAAUUGGCGGGGGAGCACCACAAGGGGUGAAGCCUGCGGUUCAAUUGGACUCAACGCCGGU